This 253-nucleotide ribosomal RNA is filed under the name uncultured bacterium. RNAcentral's name for it is "partial 16S ribosomal RNA". It matches the Rfam family "Bacterial small subunit ribosomal RNA", at positions 524 to 776 of the family's 1533-position model. The record is from RNAcentral.
UACGUAGGGUGCAAGCGUUAAUCGGAAUUACUGGGCGUAAAGCGUGCGCAGGCGGUUUUGUAAGUCAGAUGUGAAAUCCCCGAGCUCAACUUGGGAACUGCGUUUGAAACUACAAGACUAGAAUAGGUCAGAGGGGGGUAGAAUUCCACGUGUAGCAGUGAAAUGCGUAGAGAUGUGGAGGAAUACCAAUGGCGAAGGCAGCCCCCUGGGAUCAUAUUGACGCUCAUGCACGAAAGCGUGGGGAGCAAACAGG